CGUAACAAGGUCUCCGUUGGUGAACCAGCGGAGGGAUCAUUACCGAGUUUACAACUCCCAAACCCCUGUGAACAUACCACUUGUUGCCUCGGCGGAUCAGCCCGCUCCCGGUAAAACGGGACGGCCCGCCAGAGGACCCCUAAACUCUGUUUCUAUAUGUAACUUCUGAGUAAAACCAUAAAUAAAUCAAAACUUUCAACAACGGAUCUCUUGGUUCUGGCAUCGAUGAAGAACGCAGCAAAAUGCGAUAAGUAAUGUGAAUUGCAGAAUUCAGUGAAUCAUCGAAUCUUUGAACGCACAUUGCGCCCGCCAGUAUUCUGGCGGGCAUGCCUGUUCGAGCGUCAUUUCAACCCUCAAGCACAGCUUGGUGUUGGGACUCGCGUUAAUUCGCGUUCCCCAAAUUGAUUGGCGGUCACGUCGAGCUUCCAUAGCGUAGUAGUAAAACCCUCGUUACUGGUAAUCGUCGCGGCCACGCCGUUAAACCCCAACUUCUGAAUGUUGACCUCGGAUCAGGUAGGAAUACCCGCUGAACUUAAGCAUAUCAAUACG
Molecule: ribosomal RNA, 549 nt
Filed under: uncultured fungus
Lineage: Eukaryota; Fungi
Description: eukaryotic LSU rRNA
Rfam family: 5.8S ribosomal RNA (bases 191-344)
Source: RNAcentral